Molecule: small nucleolar RNA, 104 nt
Organism: Mercurialis annua (annual mercury)
Lineage: Eukaryota; Viridiplantae; Streptophyta; Magnoliopsida; Malpighiales; Euphorbiaceae
Product: small nucleolar RNA snoR97
Exons: 1
Source: RefSeq, a predicted model, not a curated record
CUUUGUUAAUGAAAAUAGGGUAAAAAAAACUCAUGAAGUUUCUGUUGUCAUUAGCUUCAUGUUCCAAACCCAGGAGCUAGGAGUUAAAUAACAACACUAAAUUU